Molecule: ribosomal RNA, 456 nt
Filed under: Triticum aestivum (bread wheat)
Lineage: Eukaryota; Viridiplantae; Streptophyta; Magnoliopsida; Poales; Poaceae
Description: partial small subunit ribosomal RNA
Source: RNAcentral
AUGUAUGCGAAGAUCAAUGUGGAUGCGGCGACCGCAACCAACCGAGGAGUUGCUGCUGCUAUCUGUCGAGAUCAAGCUGGCAUUUUUCAAGGUGCUUCGGCUCUGGUUAUCAAGGGAACCAAUGAUCCACUAACGCUCGAAGCAUUAGCAGUCAGAGAGGCUUUGGCGCUUGCCGAUGAUCUUAAUAGUCGCAGAAUACAUGUCGCUACUGACUGCAAAGUUGUACUGGACGACAUCAAGAACAAAACACCAGCUAUCUAUGGAGCUAUUCUGCAUGAAAUCAUAGACCAUAGUUCCACUUUUAUUUCAUGUACCUUUGUGCAUGAGUUUAGGAGCUCCAAUUUCGAGGCUCACAAUCUAGCGAAGCAUAGUUUGAAUUUGGGGGUUGGCCGCCAUGUGUGGUUAGGCAAUCCUGGUAAUCUUUCUUUUGUACCUUUGAACAUUGGCACAAGUUAA